RNAcentral lists this ribosomal RNA (409 nucleotides) under uncultured bacterium. RNAcentral describes it as "bacterial SSU rRNA". It matches the Rfam family "Bacterial small subunit ribosomal RNA", at positions 12 to 449 of the family's 1533-position model. The record is from RNAcentral.
UUUGAUCCUGGCUCAGGAUGAACGCUGGCGGUCUGCUUAACACAUGCAAGUCGAACGGGCUCUUCGGAGCUAGUGGCGGACGGGUGAGUAACGCGUGAGAAUCUGCCUCCAGGACGGGGACAACAGAGGGAAACCUCUGCUAAUCCCGGAUGAGCCGAAAGGUAAAACGAUUUAUCGCCUGGAGAUGAGCUCGCGUCUGAUUAGCUAGUUGGCGGGGUAAAAGCCCACCAAGGCGACGAUCAGUAGCUGGUCUGAGAGGACGAUCAGCCACACUGGGACUGAGACACGGCCCAGACUCCUACGGGAGGCAGCAGUGGGGAAUUUUCCGCAAUGGGCGAAAGCCUGACGGAGCAAGACCGCGUGGGGGAGGAAGGCUCUUGGGUUGUAAACCCCUUUUCUCAAGGAAGAA